This is a long non-coding RNA of Vidua chalybeata, 422 nucleotides long. RefSeq lists it as uncharacterized. The record is from RefSeq and is a predicted model, not a curated record. The transcript has 2 exons. NCBI's taxonomy places the organism in Eukaryota, Metazoa, Chordata, Aves, Passeriformes, Viduidae.
UCCAGACACUGCAGCCAGAGAGCUGCUCCCUGAAAUCCCCUUUGCUGAACAGACAGAACUGGGGAACUCAGUAACCCCACCACUUCUGAACUCGUCAGCACAGUUUAUAUAACGAUGAGCCACCAGCUCUUUCGCUUCAAAUACUGCCUCAAUUUACGUGGCAUAGCAGCAAUCUGGCUUUGAUGGAAAAAAAUGUGAAGGAAUGUGUUCCCUGGGGAGUAAUGCAAUACACAGACAAUCUUUUCUUUUUUUUCUCCUGCAUUGAAGAUACUACAGACAUAUGGAAAAGAAUGAAAAAGAAAAACCAUGUGCAAUCAGAGAAACUUCAGACUGAGAUAAAAUUCCUUUCAGCCACAAAGUCAAUACAGGACUGGCUAAUGUUUAAACAUUAAAAGGGAAAUGAAGAUUAUAAUUAAAAAUUA